This 60-nucleotide microRNA precursor is filed under the name Cavia porcellus (domestic guinea pig). Its description in RNAcentral is "microRNA cpo-mir-146b precursor". Its record names the gene cpo-mir-146b. It matches the Rfam family "mir-146 microRNA precursor family", at positions 18 to 75 of the family's 90-position model. The record is from miRBase by way of RNAcentral. Lineage: Eukaryota; Metazoa; Chordata; Mammalia; Rodentia; Caviidae.
UAAGAACUGAAUUCUGUAGGCUGUGAGCUCCAGCAAAUGCCUUAGGGACUCAGUUCUGGA